This 488-nucleotide ribosomal RNA is filed under the name uncultured bacterium. RNAcentral describes it as "partial 16S ribosomal RNA". It matches the Rfam family "Bacterial small subunit ribosomal RNA", at positions 28 to 507 of the family's 1533-position model. The record is from RNAcentral.
GACGAACGCUGGCGGCGUGCUUAACACAUGCAAGUCGAACGGACAGACCAGGAGCUUGUUCGGUGCUCGUUAGCGGAACGGGGGAGAAACACGUGAGUAACCCCCCCUUGUCUGUCGGGUAACAUCAGGAGACAGCGGCGCAUACCCGAUAGGAGCUCCUGCUCCAUGUUGUUCGUUGGAAAAUUUCGGCUUUUGUGGAUGGACUCGCGGCGUAUUAGCUUGUUGGUAGGGUAACUGCUUACCAAGGCUUUGACGGGUAGCCGACCUGAGAGGGUGAUCGGCCACACUGGAACUGAGACACGGUCCAGACUCCUACGGGAGGCAGCAGUAGGGAAUCGUCCGCAAUGGGCGAAAGCCUGACGGAGCAACGCCGCGUGAGUGAUGAAGGUCUUCGGAUCGUAAAACUCUGUUAUUAGGGAAGAACAAAUGUGUAAGUAACUAUGCACGUCUUGACGGUACCUAAUCAGAAAGCCACGGCUAACUACGUG